AUUGAACGCUGGCGGCAGGCUUAACACAUGCAAGUCGAGCGGCAGUCUUCGGACUGUAGUGGCGCACGGGUGAGUAACGCGUAACUGACCUACCCCAAAGUCGCGGAUAACGAUUCGAAAGAAUCGCUAAUACGUGAUGUGCUGUCAGAUUGUGUUCUGCCAGUAAAGAUUGAUUGCUUUGGGAUGGGGUUGCGUUCCAUCAGCUAGUUGGUGGGGUAAAGGCCCACCAAGGCGACGACGGAUAGCCGGCCUGAGAGGGUGGCCGGCCACAGGGGCACUGAGACACGGGUCCCACUCCUACGGUAGGCAGCAGUUAGGAAUCUUCCACAAUGGGCGAAAGCCUGAGGGAGCGACGCCGCGUGAGGGAUGAAGGUCUUCGGAUCGUAAACCUCUGAAUCAGGGACGAAAGACACUUCGGUGGGAUGACGGUACCUGAGUAAUAGCACCGGCUAACUCCGUGCCAGCAGCCGCCGUAA
Molecule: ribosomal RNA, 476 nt
Filed under: uncultured bacterium
Lineage: Bacteria
Description: partial 16S ribosomal RNA
Rfam family: Bacterial small subunit ribosomal RNA
Source: RNAcentral